This is a long non-coding RNA of Tachyglossus aculeatus (Australian echidna), 581 nucleotides long. RefSeq lists it as uncharacterized. The transcript is spliced from 3 exons. The record is from RefSeq and is a predicted model, not a curated record. NCBI's taxonomy places the organism in Eukaryota, Metazoa, Chordata, Mammalia, Monotremata, Tachyglossidae.
CGCUCAGCCCGGUGGGAGGGGCACAGCCGGGCCCCCAAAAGAGGUAGGGCUGGUGCAGUGCCCCGCUGCCCCCGUUUAAUCCAUCUCUGCCCUUCCCCGAGCCCUUCCUUUCCCGGUCCUGCCACCCCUUUGGCCACCUCACCUCACAAGGAUUCCUUGGCCUGGUGGUUGGUCUUCCUGAUCAUCUCCCCGGUCCCUCCCUCUCUCCCUUCCAUCCUUUGGAUAGUCUUUCCUCACUGGUCCAGGCCAGCCUGAUGGAUUCAGGACCAAUUCGGAGCAGCAGAUGGGAAGCAGAGGAUCUCCAGCUCCCCAACUCUUCCCACCUUCCCCGGACCACUCACAUCGGGAUUUCCCAGGCACUGCCCCGUCUAGGGCGAAGAAACUCUGAUUACGUAAGCUCCGAAGUUUUAAAAGGUCUUUGUGGCUCAAGAAACAAACAAGUGUGGGAACCCAAGUGGAAAUUCCAGAUCUGAAAGGAGGAAACACUGAAGUUCAGAGAGGUGAAGCAACUGCCCUUGCAACCAACGGCAAGAGACUCCGUCCCAGGACUCCCGAGUCCUCUUCUGAGCCCCUUCCUUCCU